CAAAAAAUGGAUGACUAGAAGAGAGGCGAAAUACAACUAAGAAACACAACUUCCUACGUGGUAUGAAGUCACUCUGCUCUUCUGCCUGAGAAAAUUGUCAGAAUAGAAAUGGAGUCACGAAUGUUCACAAAACCCUGACCAAUAGGAUUGGAGAAGUCCUGAAGAGAAGAUUUUUGGGCUUGCAUGCCUGAUUUAAAAAAAAAAAGAGACUACAAAAACCACAGCCUUGCUCAGAGGACAUCGCCAGGGUACACAAAAAAGACAUUUGCAAGGACAUCUCCCCAGUAACCUCCUGUUUAACUUCGGACUGGUGUCACCCUUGUUAUUGAUAUUUCUAACCACAGAUAAUUAUUUCAAAACAAUUAUGUAAUUCUUCUUAUUUUUUUCCUUUAAAAACCUUUGUCUUCCUUUACCUCUCUGAAUACGCACUUACUUUUUACUAUGGCACACGUAUUCCCAUUGCAAUGCUUUAUUCCCAAAUAAAUUUCUUUUAGAGAGCUUGUCUCGGUUUAUUUCAGUUGACACCAAAUUUUCUAUGUGUAAGUGAAAAAAAGGUAGGGGGGAAUCAUAAAGUGUCAAAAUGGAGAGAUGUCUUCCAGAUGGUUCAGUCCAGUCCCUGUGUCUUACUAAAGGAGACUAAGCAUGUUAACACACACACACAAACACACACACACACACACACUCCAACC
This 689-nucleotide long non-coding RNA is filed under the name Homo sapiens (human). RNAcentral describes it as "HSALNT0023383". Lineage: Eukaryota; Metazoa; Chordata; Mammalia; Primates; Hominidae. The record is from RNAcentral.